This 460-nucleotide ribosomal RNA is filed under the name uncultured bacterium. Its description in RNAcentral is "partial 16S ribosomal RNA". It matches the Rfam family "Bacterial small subunit ribosomal RNA", at positions 338 to 795 of the family's 1533-position model. The record is from RNAcentral.
CCUACGGGUGGCAGCAGUGAGGAAUAUUGGUCAAUGGACGAGAGUCUGAACCAGCCAAGUAGCGUGAAGGAUGACUGCCCUAUGGGUUGUAAACUUCUUUUAUAUGGGAAUAAAACGUUCCACGUGUGGGAUUUUGUAUGUACCAUAUGCAUAAGGAUCGGCUAACUCCGUGCCAGCAGCCGCGGUAAUACGGAGGAUCCGAGCGUUAUCCGGAUUUAUUGGGUUUAAAGGGAGCGUAGGUGGAUUGUUAAGUCAGUUGUGAAAGUUUGCGGCUCAACCGUAAAAUUGCAGUUGAAACUGGCAGUCUUGAGUACAGUAGAGGUGGGCGGAAUUCGUGGUGUAGCGGUGAAAUGCUUAGAUAUCACGAAGAACUCCGAUUGCGAAGGCAGUUCACUGGACUGCAACUGACACUGAGGCUCGAAAGUGUGGGUAUCAAACAGGAUUAGAUACCCUUGUAGUC